This 253-nucleotide ribosomal RNA is filed under the name uncultured bacterium. RNAcentral describes it as "partial 16S ribosomal RNA". It matches the Rfam family "Bacterial small subunit ribosomal RNA", at positions 524 to 776 of the family's 1533-position model. The record is from RNAcentral.
UACGUAGGGUGCAAGCGUUAAUCGGAAUUACUGGGCGUAAAGCGUGCGCAGGCGGCUUUGCAAGACAGAUGUGAAAUCCCCGGGCUUAACCUGGGAACUGCAUUUGUGACUGCAUGGCUGGAGUGCGGCAGAGGGGGAUGGAAUUCCGCGUGUAGCAGUGAAAUGCGUAGAUAUGCGGAGGAACACCGAUGGCGAAGGCAAUCCCCUGGGCCUGCACUGACGCUCAUGCACGAAAGCCAGGGGAGCGAACGGG